Molecule: ribosomal RNA, 468 nt
Filed under: uncultured bacterium
Lineage: Bacteria
Description: partial 16S ribosomal RNA
Rfam family: Bacterial small subunit ribosomal RNA
Source: RNAcentral
GACGAACGCUGGCGGCGGGCUUAACACAUGCAAGUCGAACGGAAAGGCCCUGCUUUGGUUGGGUUCUCGAGUGGCGAACGGGUGAAUAACACGUGAGUGAGCUUCCCAUGAGUUUAGGACAUCUGCAGAAAACUGCGGCUAAUACAGUAUUGCAGCUUGUGCUGCAUGGUGGGGGUCGGAAAGUUUCGGCGGUUGUGGAUGGACUCGCGGCUUAUGAGCUUGUUUGGCGGGUAGUGGAUGAAAAAGGCUUUCACGGGUAGCCGGCCUGGGAGGGUGACCGACCACAUUGGGACUGAGCUACGGCCCAGACUCGUACGGGAGGCAGGAGUGGGGAAUAUUGCCUAAUGGGCGGAAGUCUGAUGCAGCAACGCCGCGUGCGGGAUGAAGGCCUUCGUGUUGUAAACCGCUUUCGGCUGUGACGGUGCGUUUGUGACGGUACUGGGUAAAGAAGCACCGGCUAACUACGUG